Molecule: ribosomal RNA, 484 nt
Filed under: uncultured bacterium
Lineage: Bacteria
Description: partial 16S ribosomal RNA
Rfam family: Bacterial small subunit ribosomal RNA
Source: RNAcentral
AUUGAACGCUGGCGGCAGGCCUAACACAUGCAAGUCGAGCGGAUGAAGGGAGCUUGCUCCUGGAUUCAGCGGCGGACGGGUGAGUAAUGCCUAGGAAUCUGCCUGGUAGUGGGGGAUAACGUCCGGAAACGGGCGCUAAUACCGCAUACGUCCUGAGGGAGAAAGUGGGGGAUCUUCGGACCUCACGCUAUCAGAUGAGCCUAGGUCGGAUUAGCUAGUUGGUGGGGUAAAGGCCUACCAAGGCGUCGAUCCGUAACUGGGCUGAGAGGAUGAUCAGUCACACUGGAACUGAGACACGGUCCAGACUCCUACGGGAGGCAGCAGUGGGGAAUAUUGGACAAUGGGCGAAAGCCUGAUCCAGCCAUGCCGCGUGUGUGAAGAAGGUCUUCGGAUUGUAAAGCACUUUAAGUUGGGAGGAAGGGCAGUAAGUUAAUACCUUGCUGUUUUGACGUUACCAACAGAAUAAGCACCGGCUAACUUCGUG